Molecule: ribosomal RNA, 153 nt
Organism: Zonotrichia albicollis (white-throated sparrow)
Lineage: Eukaryota; Metazoa; Chordata; Aves; Passeriformes; Passerellidae
Rfam family: 5.8S ribosomal RNA
About the family: 5.8S ribosomal RNA (5.8S rRNA) is a component of the large subunit of the eukaryotic ribosome. It is transcribed by RNA polymerase I as part of the 45S precursor that also contains 18S and 28S rRNA.
Source: Ensembl
AACUCUUAGCGGUGGAUCACACGGCUCAUGCAUUAAUGAAGAAUGCAGCUAGCUGCAAGAAUUAAUGGGAAUUGCAGGGCACAUUGAUCAUCCACUCUUUGAAUGCACUUGCAGCCCUGGGUUCCUCCCGGAGCUACGCCCGUCUGAACACUU